This 254-nucleotide ribosomal RNA is filed under the name uncultured bacterium. RNAcentral's name for it is "partial 16S ribosomal RNA". It matches the Rfam family "Bacterial small subunit ribosomal RNA", at positions 524 to 776 of the family's 1533-position model. The record is from RNAcentral.
UACGUAGGGGGCGAGCGUUGUCCGGAUUUAUUGGGCGUAAAGAGCUCGUAGGCGGUUUGGUAAGUUGGAUGUGAAAUCUCCAGGCUCAACUUGGAGGGGUCAUUCGAUACUGCCAUGACUAGAGUUCGGUAGGGGAGUGUGGAAUUCCUGGUGUAGCGGUGAAAUGCGUAGAGAUCAGGAAGAACAUCGGUGGCGAAGGCGCUCUGCUGGACCAUAACUGACACUCAGGGACGAAAGCUAGGGGAGCGAACGGG